Molecule: long non-coding RNA, 3249 nt
Filed under: Homo sapiens (human)
Lineage: Eukaryota; Metazoa; Chordata; Mammalia; Primates; Hominidae
Description: non-protein coding GAS6-AS1:4
Source: RNAcentral
CUAAGAUGCUAUUUUCAGCAGGUCACUAUAAACGCUUUCUACUCUGAAGCACACAGGGGCUGGGGCUGGCCUUCGGAGUUACGAGGAAACGAGGACCAGGACCAGGGAUUCUGCAUCAGCACAGCCGCCAGGAGCCGGCCGGGGCCCCAUCCCUGACACUGCUGUCGCCCGGCUGUACCUGGGUGCUGUGUCCGCGGGGCGUCUGGAGACGUCGAUGUGGUCAUAGCAGGGCCUGGAACGGGGAGGUCUGGCCUGAACUAGAGAAAUGAGGGGCGUAUCCGCUUCUCCACCCUGGCCUCAGAUGAAGAGGCUCUGGGGGCAGGAGGGAGUCAGACACGUGCAGGGCAGGCGGCCUGUGCAGGGCCCAACCCUCCGGCACCAGAACCUGACCUCCUCAGAGGCCCCCACCAUGGAGGGAUGUCUGGGGGAUGCUGUGCGCUGCCGCUACGAUGUUUGGUUAGAGAUUAAAGCCAUUUCAGAAGUGGACACCUGCCCAUGUGAUGCAAAGGGCUGGGAACCCGGUCUUGACUUUGCCUGGAAUGCCUUUCGGAAAGACCUCUGUCCCUGAGGCUGAGGGACAGUGCCUGCUCCUGCCAGGUGCCCAGCUCUUAAGCGGUCCCCAGACUCAUGCCACCUGCCCCGGGGCCUCCCCCAACUCAUUUGUUUAUUUCCCUGUUGGGAAUGUAUUGAUACCUCUAGGAUGCAAGGACGGAACCACACCUGAGGGGUGGACAGUCAGCCGGUGCCCAGCAAAUAUCUGUGGAAUUUCCUCCACACAACAGGGAAAGCGAUGGAGACAGAAACCUCUGCAGGCCCCCGAGGGCACCCACUUCCCUGACCCCGUCCACCUCCCUGACCCCCGCCCACCUCCCUGAUCCCCAUCCCGCAAGCUGGGCCUAGGGUAUCGGUGGCCUGGCUGGUCAUGCCCUGGGCGCCAGCGCCUGUUCAGGAGGUGAAGGGUUUAUCUCAGCUUGGCCCAUGACUGCGUUGAAGGACAGGAGGGAGCGGCUGUGGCUGUGGCUGGAAUCUGAAGCCGGUGCGGGCGGCCAGGGCCUUUCCCUGGGUGGUGACGAGCGAGGACCAGAGCCCUGUCUGCCCGAGGGAAGGGCGAGGGGACACUCCCCGUGGCGGGGGUGGGAUCCCGGUAGCCGGGGCUCAGUGACCGCUGCCUGGGCCACCGCCUGUGGGGACCUGACCUUCCUGGGGAAACCCAUGGGUCAAAGGAGCCGAGAAAUCCAAGCACCAAGUGGCCGCUAUGGCAGGACGGGCGCGUUCGCAGUGGAGAAGCUGGGUGUGUCCGUGGGAAAGGAAAGAAAUGGAAGCAGAGGCUCUUCAGGGGCACCUGGGAACGCAGCCUACACUCUUCCCAGGCCUCCUCCCUCCGUCCACUGUGCCGCCUGGGUCCUGGGACAGCCUGAGGGCCGCAGGCUCCCAUGCAAGGCCCGCUGGGGGCCUGCUUGUCUGGGGCUGAAUUUGGACUUUAUGGGGCUAUGGCUUUAAUUUCACAAUGACCGAUAACCAGUGAACUGAAGCCAGGACAGCACCGUGAGCACCAAGUCAGAGAAUUUUCACGAGGGAACCAAUGAACAGGAACAGAGUGUGAGGCUGCCCCAGCUGCAUCCUCCGGGAGGCGCCUUCCCAAGGGAGUGCAAGGCUGCCUGCUGUGGCCAGGCCACCAAAGCACCUUCUUCACCGCCAGGCAUCUUUUGAGGCACGCGAACAUCAGAGGCCCCAGCCACGUGCUCUGGAGGAGAAGCUGAGAGCCCCAGGCCACAGGCAGGGCAGCCUCUGAGGGCCGGCUCAGGGAGAGUGGCCGGAGCUUCUGGCCUGGGGCAGGUGGACCCGUUAGAAACUGCAUGUGUUGCCUCUGGCACCAGCCACAGCAAGAGAUUCUCUUCCUAUCACACAGGGAACAAACUCAAGGAUCUUGACCUUGCCCUCCUCUCCCCAGCUGGCCGCACUUGGGGACGCUGAUGCCACAAAGGAAAUAACCAAAACAAGAUAACUCUAUUGGGCGGCGGGAACAGAAAGGAACAUGUAGCAAUCACUCCUCUUCAUCCAUGCAAGGAAGCGAGGCGACGCCUUGAAAAGGACGGCCUUCUUUGCUGCAAAUAGCCAGAAGUGAACUGAGCAAAGGAAGCACGGGACGCACAGGAAGAAAAGUGCUCCAAGGGACGGACAGGACGGUGCCGGGGUUAGGAAAGCGCAACACUGUUCAGACACAGUCUCCGAUAUAUGAAUGGCAAGCCCAGUUAAAAAUAUCUAAAGGGCUUUUUUAGGUUUUUAAGAAUAUUUUUAAGGUUUAGUUUUAUUAAAAAAUAAGCAAGACAACCAGAAAAAAGACUGAGGAGGGCAUAGGAGACCCACCCGCGUGCAUGAGGCCGAGUCUAAAGCUGUGGCCACGGCCUGUGGAAACCCGGCAGAAAAUCUCCCAAAUACCCAGCAUAUGAGGACGGCAGCAGGUGAGGCACUGGGGUGAGACAGACUCAAAUGUGUGGUGUUGGGGCAGGAACUGAGCCUGCAGUCUAGAUCCCCACCUCAUCCAUCACGUCAAAAGAAAUUACGGGCGGGUCACAGAUGAAAACACCUAACAGCAGGUAACUGUUUUGUAAUCUUGGGGAGAAGCCUAAAGCCCAGGAACUAAGAGAGUAUAACAAGUGUGAAUACAGAAUUUAAAAGAAGAGACUGGUUUAGCAAUCACUAAGAUAAAACACGCGUGACAGGAUCUGCUUGUCUCCUCUGAGCACGCAGGAGCCUCUGCCCCAAAUGCAGACAUUGGGCCCUACGUGGCACCUGGCUACUGUGCAUGGUUGCAGGUCAGGGCAGGCCGGGCCACAGGGCAGGGCCACCCUCCCAUUCCCAUGUUUACACUGAGCAUUUCCUCUGCCUGUGUCUCUUGGGCUGGGGUCUGUGAUACAAGUCCGGGAGGCCAGAGACGCCCACGGACAGUGCGUGGGGCUUGGGGAGCGGGACUGAGCCACCUCUGACUCCUUCUGCUGACUGGGAUCCAGCUCCAAAGCCAUGCCUGGGAAGAGACUCCUGCCUCUCCCAGGAUGACUCCGUCCCGCCACGCCUCUGCUCUCAGCGCCCACAGGGACUCACCAAGCUGGACUUUCAUCUAAAACUAGACACACGUGACGCCAGCGGACCACAGACCCAGUGCAAGGGGAGCUGUGUGGGUUGUGCUGAAGGUAUGUUAAAAUUCAUACAGGACACCCAAAACAAUCAAUCUUAUUGCAUGAUAAUUUU